UUAAAUGAGCGAUUAACUCAAAAGUUAAGAUGGCGUCGGUUAUUUUCAAAUGGUAUCAAUCGUCAAAUUUCGUCGAGAGAUGGCGCCAGUGGUUACGUUACGUCAAACCCGUAUCCAUGUAGUAUAUCUACCCUUUUCGCGAAAUUCCACGGUCUGAAAGUGGCAGCGCGUGGCCGUCGUUCGUUGUUCGUUGUUAGUUCGUUUCGUUUCGUACGUACGUACGUAAGUAAUUAAUUAACCAAUCAAGUUGGAAAAUUGUUUUCUACGAAUGCAAGAACGAGUAUCCUCGUGAUAGCGAGGCCGAGUUAAACCGGCUGACAUAACCUCACAUUAUUGUCGUCGAUCAAGAGGAAGAGUGAGAGAGAGAGAGGGGGUGAGAGAGAGAGAGAGAGAAAGCGAGAGAGAAAGAAAGAAAGAAAGAUUCAAGCAGACAGGAAAAAACGUUCGUCGUCGUCGUCGUCGUCGUUGUCGUCGUCGUCAUCGUCGUCAUCGUCGUCGUCGUCGUCGUCGAAAGACGCCGUCAGCAUGAACGGGUAAGAUUCCCGGCCAACUUGGCGCUCGUCCAUAUUUCGCCGCUUCGAAUUUGGCGGCGGCCAACAACAACAACAACAACAACAACAACAACAACAUCAACAUCACAUCUCCAACGGGCCCUGCAAUUGUUAUUUUCUUUCCCCCUACCCCCGACACCCCCCUGUGAACGUGACGAAACGCCACGUGGAGAACGUUAGUAAAAUUAAUCGUACAUAUGCGAUUAUAAUAAAAGAGACGAAUCAGAAGAAGUAAACGUCGUCAUCGUCACCGUAAUAACAUCAUUCAACGUAAUCGUCAUCACCACCAACUGUGUGUUCGAUUGGCCCGAUUGUGUUUUUAUCGGAGGACAACUCGGCAAAAAGACGUGGAAGAGAGAACGGUCACAACAAACCUCGUGAGAGCUGUUGCUGCUGUUUCUCUAUGCUGUUGCUGCUAAAUUGUUCGUCUUGUUAAUUCUUCCUUUUCACAUUCUUCUUGUUUCUCCUUCUCCUCCUCCUCCUCCUCCUCCUCCUCCUCCUCCUCCUCUUCCUCCUCUUCCUUCUUCUUAUUCCUUUCCUUCUCUUCCUCCU
RNA transcript from Vespa velutina, 1103 nucleotides. RefSeq lists it as uncharacterized. The record is from RefSeq and is a predicted model, not a curated record. Lineage: Eukaryota; Metazoa; Arthropoda; Insecta; Hymenoptera; Vespidae. The transcript is spliced from 5 exons.